This 564-nucleotide long non-coding RNA is filed under the name Monodelphis domestica (gray short-tailed opossum). RNAcentral describes it as "lncRNA (ENSMODG00000035948.2)". Lineage: Eukaryota; Metazoa; Chordata; Mammalia; Didelphimorphia; Didelphidae. The record is from RNAcentral.
UCUCGGUGUUGGAAACCUGGGUCCAGUGGCACGAAAAGUCGUUACUCCUGGAGACUUCCUCAGCUGCAUUGGAUGGCUGUGUUGUCUUUUGUGCUCCAACACGCCCUAAGCACUCCACAGUGCUUUGCUGCGUCGCCAUCUCAGCUAUUGAACCUUCUUGUUGGUUUCUUCCAUCUGUUCAGCCAAAGCAGUCUUCACAAGCUGGGAAGGAGCUGGAGGGCUCUGGAGUGAGUUCAGCUUUGGAAACUGAAUUGGAGGUCAGGAGUCAGAGCUGGCCGUCUGAAGGAGUUGGAGCUUGGACUAGUUGGACUGGCUGGGUCUCUGAACUUAAUUGGAGUUUUGCUUGGGACAAAAUCUUCUGGUGAGUAAUUAAAGACUGACUUAGUUUUCUCUCUUAAAGAGAAAGGCCUAGGUGAUUUGGCCUAGGCCCUAGCCCUUUCCUACUAUUUCCUCUUACUCUGUCUCUCUCCCUUCCCUUAAUUCCUUCAUUCGUAUUAAUUAAAAUAUCCAUAAUACCCAGCUGACUUGGGUAUUUCAUAUUUGGGAAUUUUUCCCAUGGCAACC